GGGUUAUAAUAAUUCACAACCACUCAUUCCUUCUGUCCCACCGAUACAUCAACCACCACAUAGGUGGAACCUGGCUUCCUGUGGGACCAGUGUAGCCAGCUCACGGUGCAGCGAGGAGCUCUUCUCCUCUGUGUCUGUGGGGGAUCAGGACUACUGUUCUGAAUUAUAUAUACCCUUCUGGAUGACCAAGAACUAACAUCUCUGGACCAGAGGGCGGUGUUUGCAGUGACGUCUCCUCCUCAGCUGUUAUCUAACCUAGUUGUGAAGUAAACACUGCUGAUUUUAACAGGUGCUUUAUGGAAGCCAUGAUAACCUAGCUGCAUUGUUUGUUUGACACCCCCCCCAUGCUGAGUGUGCCGAGUCUGUUUUCCAAGAAGAAGCCUAGCCAUUGCGACCUGGAUGAAUUGCCAUGGAAUGCCAUGAACAACGAUGAACAAAUAAACAAAGCCAACACGGCCUUCUGGAUUAUAGUGUUUAAAAUUGGCAACCUCUCUUUGCAAUCAGAGUGCUCAGAAUUGACUGAGAACUUACAGACUUUCUGAUUCUGCUAGUUCAUGAUAUUUAUUUAGCAGAAUUGGUUUACGUCAGUGUCGGUUAACCAUUAUUAAGUCAAUUUUAUUUUUAUAACCCAAUAUCACAAUGCGCAAAUUUGCCUUAAGGGGCUUUACAAUCUGUACCGUAUACACCAACCUCUGUCCUUAGACCCUCGAUUUUGAUGAGGAAAAAUUAGACCAAAAACUUUUAACUUUUAACUUUUAACAUCUUGUUUAUGUUAGCAGUUCUACAUGAAUAUAAAAUUAAUUAGAAGGUAAGAAUUUAAAAACAUAGCCUACAUGGUGGCAAAAUCUUGCUUGCAGCAGUAGUUAUUGAAAUAUCAGCUUAAUGUCAGUCAUUGUGCCAAACCAUUAGAUUGUGGUGACUUGAAUUUGAAAUAAAUAUGUUGCUCUGUA
Micropterus salmoides (largemouth bass) is the source of this 950-nucleotide long non-coding RNA. RefSeq lists it as uncharacterized. The transcript has 2 exons. The record is from RefSeq and is a predicted model, not a curated record. NCBI's taxonomy places the organism in Eukaryota, Metazoa, Chordata, Actinopteri, Centrarchiformes, Centrarchidae.